AUAAAAGCAGGGAUGUAUUGCCGAAUAUAUAUAUGUGAAUAUGUCUCCCGUAAACAUCAGGAAAAUAGAGCUGGGCAUUGUUAUUGGGUGAACCUCUUGAUUCUUUUCAUGACGGAUAAGGUUCAGUAAACGAAGCUAUAUUU
Molecule: small nucleolar RNA, 143 nt
Organism: Erigeron canadensis
Lineage: Eukaryota; Viridiplantae; Streptophyta; Magnoliopsida; Asterales; Asteraceae
Product: small nucleolar RNA snoR74
Exons: 1
Source: RefSeq, a predicted model, not a curated record